RNAcentral lists this ribosomal RNA (321 nucleotides) under uncultured Geobacter sp. Its description in RNAcentral is "bacterial SSU rRNA". It matches the Rfam family "Bacterial small subunit ribosomal RNA", at positions 486 to 806 of the family's 1533-position model. Lineage: Bacteria; Pseudomonadati; Thermodesulfobacteriota; Desulfuromonadia; Geobacterales; Geobacteraceae. The record is from RNAcentral.
GGAAGCACCGGCUAACUCCGUGCCAGCAGCCGCGGUAAUACGGAGGGUGCAAGCGUUGUUCGGAUUUAUUGGGCGUAAAGCGCGUGUAGGCGGUUUUCUAAGUCUGAUGUGAAAGCCCUGGGCUCAACCCAGGAAGUGCAUUGGAUACUGGGAGACUUGAAUACGGGAGAGGGUAGUGGAAUUCCUAGUGUAGGAGUGAAAUCCGUAGAUAUUAGGAGGAACACCGGUGGCGAAGGCGGCUACCUGGACCGAUAUUGACGCUGAGACGCGAAAGCGUGGGGAGCAAACAGGAUUAGAUACCCUGGUAGUCCACGCCGUAAA